RNAcentral lists this ribosomal RNA (557 nucleotides) under uncultured Anaerolineae bacterium. Its description in RNAcentral is "bacterial SSU rRNA". It matches the Rfam family "Bacterial small subunit ribosomal RNA", at positions 97 to 670 of the family's 1533-position model. The record is from RNAcentral. Lineage: Bacteria; Bacillati; Chloroflexota; Anaerolineae.
GGCGAACGGGUGAGUAACGCGUUGGUGACCUGCCCCGAAGUCUGGGAUAACCCUGCGAAAGUGGGGCUAAUACCGGAUGUGGUCAUCGGAUUUAGAAACCGAUGUCUAAAGGAUUUAUUCGCUUCGGGAGGGGCCUGCGUCCCAUCAGCUAGUUGGUAGGGUAAUGGCCUACCAAGGCGACGACGGGUAGGGGACCUCAGAGGGUGGCCCCCCACAAUGGAACUGAAACACGGUCCAUACACCUACGGGUGGCAGCAGUAGGGAAUAUUGCACAAUGGGCGAAAGCCUGAUGCAGCAACGCCGCGUGUGCGAAGAAGGCCUUCGGGUCGUAAAGCACUUUUCUGCGAGAUGAGAAAGGACAGUAUCGUAGGAAUAAGUCUCGGCUAACUACGUGCCAGCAGCCGCGGUAAAACGUAGGAGGCGAGCGUUAUCCGGAUUCACUGGGCGUAAAGCGCGUGCAGGCGGUUUGGUAAGUUAGGCGUGAAAGCUCCCGGCUCAACUGGGAGAGGUCGUCUAAAACUGCCAGACUUGAGAGCGGUAGAGGAAAAUGGAAUUCC